GGGGAUGUGGCUCAGAGUUGGAGUACUCGUCUCGCAAGCGUGAGGCACUGGGUUCAAUCCUCAGCACCA
This 69-nucleotide transfer RNA is filed under the name Ictidomys tridecemlineatus (thirteen-lined ground squirrel). Its description in RNAcentral is "Spermophilus tridecemlineatus (thirteen-lined ground squirrel) tRNA". It matches the Rfam family "tRNA". From Rfam's summary of the family: Transfer RNA (tRNA) molecules are approximately 80 nucleotides in length. Their secondary structure includes four short double-helical elements and three loops (D, anti-codon, and T loops). Further hydrogen bonds mediate the characteristic L-shaped molecular structure. tRNAs have two regions of fundamental functional importance: the anti-codon, which is responsible for specific mRNA codon recognition, and the 3' end, to which the tRNAs corresponding amino acid is attached (by aminoacyl-tRNA synthetases). tRNAs cope with the degeneracy of the genetic code in two manners: having more than one tRNA (with a specific anti-codon) for a particular amino acid; and 'wobble' base-pairing, i.e. permitting non-standard base-pairing at the 3rd anti-codon position. Lineage: Eukaryota; Metazoa; Chordata; Mammalia; Rodentia; Sciuridae. The record is from Rfam by way of RNAcentral.